Molecule: ribosomal RNA, 391 nt
Filed under: uncultured bacterium
Lineage: Bacteria
Description: bacterial SSU rRNA
Rfam family: Bacterial small subunit ribosomal RNA
Source: RNAcentral
AACGAACGCUGGCGGCAGGCCUAACACAUGCAAGUCGAACGAGAUCUUCGGAUCUAGUGGCGGACGGGUGAGUAACGCGUGGGAACGUGCCCUUCUCUACGGAAUAGUCCCGGGAAACUGGGUUUAAUACCGUAUACGCCCUUCGGGGAAAGAAUUUCGGGGAAGGAUCGGCCCGCGUUGGAUUAGGUAGUUGGUGGGGUAAUGGCCUACCAAGCCGACGAUCCAUAGCUGGUUUGAGAGGAUGAUCAGCCACACUGGGACUGAGACACGGCCCAGACUCCUACGGGAGGCAGCAGUGGGGAAUCUUAGACAAUGGGGGCAACCCUGAUCUAGCCAUGCCGCGUGAGUGACGAAGGCCCUAGGGUCUAAAGCCUUUGCCGGAGAUAAUGAC